GACGAACCGUACGAACGUUAUUCGGAAUCACUGGGCUUAAAGGGUGCGUAGGCGGUGCGGAAAGUUGGGUGUGAAAUCCCUCGGCUCAACCGAGGAAUUGCGCCCAAAACUACCGUGCUCGAGGGAGACAGAGGUGAGUUGAACUUAGGGUGGAGCGGUGAAAUGCGUUGAUAUCCUAAGGAACACCAGUGGCGAAAGCGACUCACUGGGUCUCUUCUGACGCUGAGGCACGAAAGCUAGGGGAGCAAACGGG
RNAcentral lists this ribosomal RNA (253 nucleotides) under uncultured bacterium. RNAcentral's name for it is "partial 16S ribosomal RNA". It matches the Rfam family "Bacterial small subunit ribosomal RNA", at positions 524 to 776 of the family's 1533-position model. The record is from RNAcentral.